GGGGCCGUAGUUUAGCUUGGGAGAAUGCUGGCUUCGGGAGCCAGUGGUCCGGGGUUCAAAUCCCCGCGGCCCCA
Molecule: transfer RNA, 74 nt
Filed under: Nanobdellota archaeon
Lineage: Archaea; Nanobdellati; Nanobdellota
Description: Nanoarchaeota archaeon tRNA-Pro
Rfam family: tRNA
About the family: Transfer RNA (tRNA) molecules are approximately 80 nucleotides in length.
Source: RNAcentral